This 1415-nucleotide ribosomal RNA is filed under the name Ganitus evelinae. RNAcentral's name for it is "SSU rRNA". It matches the Rfam family "Eukaryotic small subunit ribosomal RNA", at positions 31 to 1435 of the family's 1831-position model. The record is from RNAcentral. Lineage: Eukaryota; Metazoa; Mollusca; Gastropoda; Acochlidiacea; Ganitidae.
CUUGUCUCAAAGAUUAAGCCAUGCAUGUCUAAGUUCACACUAUCUCACGGUGAAACCGCGAAUGGCUCAUUAAAUCAGUCGAGGUUCCUUAGAUGACACGAUCCUACUUGGAUAACUGUGGCAAUUCUAGAGCUAAUACAUGCUUACCAAGCUCCGACCCUCGUGGAAAGAGCGCCUUUAUUAGUUCAAAACCAAUCGCCGUUACCCGCAAGGGUGCGGCGUCCCCACUGGUGACUCUGGAUAACUUUGUGCUGAUCGCAUGGCCUUUUGCGCCGGCGACGCAUCUUUCAAAUGUCUGCCCUAUCAAAUGUCGAUGGUACGUGACAUGCCUACCAUGUUUGUAACGGGUAACGGGGAAUCAGGGUUCGAUUCCGGAGAGGGAGCAUGAGAAACGGCUACCACAUCCAAGGAAGGCAGCAGGCGCGCAACUUACCCACUCCCGGCACGGGGAGGUAGUGACGAAAAAUAACAAUACGGGACUCUUUCGAGGCCCCGUAAUUGGAAUGAGUACACUUUAAACCCUUUAACGAGGAUCUAUUGGAGGGCAAGUCUGGUGCCAGCAGCCGCGGUAAUUCCAGCUCCAAUAGCGUAUAUUAAAGUUGUUGCAGUUAAAAAGCUCGUAGUUGGAUCUCAGGCGCAGGCGGGUGGUCCGGCUCGCGCCGGCUCACUGCCCGUAUCUCCUGCCCUACCCGUCUGUCGGCUCUCUCCCGUGGGUGCUCUUCACUGAGCGUCCCGGGUGGCCGGCGCGUUUACUUUGAAAAAAUUAGAGUGUUCAAAGCAGGCCUCGGCUGCCUGAAUAAUGGUGCAUGGAAUAAUGGAAUAGGACCUCGGUUCUAUUUUGUUGGUUUUCGGAACUGGAGGUAAUGAUUAACAGGGACAAACGGGGGCAUUCGUAUUGCGGCGUUAGAGGUGAAAUUCUUGGAUCGCCGCAAGACGAGCUACUGCGAAAGCAUUUGUCAAGAAUGUUUUCAUUAAUCAAGAACGAAAGUCAGAGGCGCGAAGACGAUCAGAUACCGUCGUAGUUCUGACCAUAAACGAUGCCACCUAGCGAUCCGCAGGAGUUGCUUCGAUGACUCUGCGGGCAGCUUCCGGGAAACCAAAGUUUUUGGGUUCCGGGGGAAGUAUGGUUGCAAAGCUGAAACUUAAAGGAAUUGACGGAAGGGCACCACCAGGAGUGGAGCCUGCGGCUUAAUUUGACUCAACACGGGAAAACUCACCCGGUCCGGACACUGUAAGGAUUGACAGAUUGAUAGCUCUUUCUUGAUUCGGUGGGUGGUGGUGCAUGGCCGUUCUUAGUUGGUGGAGCGAUUUGUCUGGUUAAUUCCGAUAACGAACGAGACUCUAGCCUAUUAAAUAGUUCGCCGGUCCCCUGAUGCGCCGGCGCAACUUCUUAGAGGGACGAGUGGCGUUUAGCC